AAAUAAAUUAAUUUCCUAAUUAUAGCCUAAUCAUAUCCCAAUCAUAUCACACAAUCAUAUCCCUAAUUAUUACUACAAAUCUAUGCUAUUUACAGAAAUAAUCUCAAUAUACAGAAAUAAUCUCAACAAUAUAUAUUUAUGAUUAAUAUUCUCUUGAAUUGAUCAUUGAAUUUAUUGACAUGUUCAUGUAGACUGUACAUGCCAAAUGUCAAAUUGAUUAGAUAUUUGGCACGCAUAGGUAAAGCUAUUUAAAAUAACUGCAGUAAAAUAUUUUGCUAUUUUGAAUUGUCACUUUUGUUUGUGAACUUAUUCUUGAUAUUUUUUUGCCAUUUCAUGAAUGGAACUAGACGCGGGUGUCAUAUUGAGCUUGUUAAUCUUGGUCUAAAGUCUGAAUGCGAUCUUUAUAUUAUUUUUAUUGAUGCAUUGGUGAAGAAUUUGAUUGAAAGAAAAUACAUCUGAAUAGCACAGCUCGGAUUCUGAGGAGCUAAAAAAAGAAAUGGAUAUGUGGGCAUUCACAGAUAAUUGAACUCGGAUCUCCUGCACCCUAAGUGAGAAUCAUACCACUAGACCAAAUGCCCAAGUGAACUCAGGACAUUCCUUAUGCAUACUUAAUAUGUGUACAUGUUUUUUGGUACACGUUGCUAUUCGUUAGUUUUGUACAACUUUGAUUGGUCAUUGUCAAUGAACAUAUUUGGGCAAAUUUCUGUUUCUUUUGCCUUGAUGGAUGGAGUUGAUUCUGAAUCCUAUACUUAAGAUGUGUGCCCCACCUGUUUAUUGGCAUGUGUUUCUAUUCUUUAAUUCAGCAUGUCUUUGAUUGGCCAUCUUGCUUUUAAUAUUUGUACUAUUUUGCAGGGUUCAGGUAAAUUGCUGUUUUUUCCCCUUGAUGAAUGGAUUAGAUACAGGUAUGAGACUGAGCUUGCUAAUUAAUCUAAAUAUCAUCUUCAUAAACCAUAAAAAAAAUGGAAUUCCUAACAAUCCAAACAAGAAAAAAAAAAAGAAAAAAACAAAAGAGGAGGAAAUGGGUCAUUCUGAGAAUGGAACGUGCAACCUCUUGCAUCUAAGCAAGAUCAAACUACUAAACCAAAUGCCAAGCUGCUGAUGUUAUUUGCUUCGCUAAUUCAUAAUUUUAUUUUGGAUCUGGAGAACAAGAUUUUAAAGCCUUAUUUUUACUGUUUGGAUCGAAUGAAACAUUUCUAUGCAUGUUACUGAUACUGAGUGCUUGAUUUAUGAUCAGUGAUGCUGUUAUCUUUUGUCCACUUGAUGCCAAUAUCUAAUUCUCUUUUUGUUUCUUUUAUUAUUAUUAUUGUUAUUAUUAUUAUUUUUUAAAUUUUAUUACAUGGAAUCUUGUUAGAAAACUAAAAUUCUUAUUUUAUAUAUAUAUAAGAUUUUCUGUUUGACUUGGGCUUUGAUUCCUUUGCUCAAAAAGCAAUAUAAAAUGAAAUCAUAUGUGCUGCUAAUUUACUAUGUAAAUUCAUUGGCAAAGAUAAAAUGACCUAGUAGAUCUAAGAUAUUAAAAAGCAUGAAAUAUUUGUUGUCCUAUUAGACCUAGGAUAGAAUUGACUUGCUCAAAAAUGGUAAAAAAAAUGGGGGCAUUCCGAGAAUCGAACUCGAGACCUCUCGCACCCAAAGCGAGAAUCAUACCACUAGACCAAAUGCCCAUUCAUUGAUACUAGUUAUGUAGACUGUUGCUAUUGUUAGUUUGGAAGUUUGGAGUAUUAUUUAUGUGGUUAGAAGUGAAAUUGACAUACAAAUUCAGCACUUGAAUUUUAUUUGUUGCUUUUUGCUUAUUUUUAGGACAUCUUUCCUGUCAGAUGCUCCUUUUUCUGGUAUUGGGCUUUCCUUGAUUAUUCUUUGAAUUGAAACUAAAUAAUAAAUUGUGGACUAGCAGUGAGUUCACUAGUUUUAAAAUUUGGCAUCUCUACCCAUAACAUAAACUCUUCAACCUUAUUCCUCUCAACGUAAUGGUGAAAAUUCUCUUAGGAAAAAAUUGCAAGUUUAGAUAUCUGGAUUAUGGAUACACAGAGGUUUUGUUAACAACGAAUCUGUAUGCUCAUAUCAUCUGUGGUUUCUCUUUUUUUUACCUUGCUCCACCUGUUGCAAAAAUUUCAUGAUGCAUAGCACAUUUAUUUUAUUUUUAUAUGCCUAGUUUUCACUUGUUGCCUUCUCUGACCUUCACAAACAUUUGGCAGGGUUGAAAAUAGCUGGCUUUUUAAUUGAUUUCUGGUAGCAAUUUAUUAGUUGGAAAGUGGACUAAAAACUUGUAGUUAUGCAACUCCAUGACAGAUACAAGGAAAAAUUUUAAUCUUAGCAUUUGAAAUGAAAAACAAGGUUUCCAGGCAAGUUGUCCGUUCUUGAAGAAUGGAACUAGAUACAGGGUGGCCAGAUUUGAAACAGAGCAAUGAAAGGACAAACUUGUGGUUAUGUGAUUUGAUUUCAGGACAGAUUUUAAUCUCAAUAUUGGAAAUAAAAAACAAACUGAGGCAUUUUGGGGAAUCAAACUUGGGACCUUUCCCACUAGACGAAAUGCCCAUUUGUCAAAUUUGUUUUUGUUUUGAUCUAUAAACUAACAGCCCCACAUAUAGAUUACGAUUUAUAUUCUCCUGAA
Manihot esculenta (cassava) is the source of this 2605-nucleotide long non-coding RNA. RefSeq lists it as uncharacterized. The transcript has 3 exons. The record is from RefSeq and is a predicted model, not a curated record. NCBI's taxonomy places the organism in Eukaryota, Viridiplantae, Streptophyta, Magnoliopsida, Malpighiales, Euphorbiaceae.